UGCAGUGCCGCAGGGAAGCCGUUAAGUCUGCCGCCUGGGAAGUACGUACGCAAGUAUGAAACUUAAAGGAAUUGGCGGGGGAGCACCACAAGGGGUGAAGCCUGCGGUUCAAUUGGAGUCAACGCCAGAAAUCUUACCUGGGGAGACAGCAGAAUGAAGGUCAAGCUGAAGACUUUACCAGACACGCUGAGAGGUGGUGCAUGGCCGUCGCCAGCUCGUGCCGUGAGAUGUCCUGUUAAGUCAGGUAACGAGCGAGACCCCUGCGUCUAGUUGCUACCAUUACUCUCUGGAGCAGUGGAGCGAAUUAGACGGGCCGCCACAGUUAAUGUGGAGGAAGGAAGGGGCCACGGCAGGUCAGUAUGCCCCGAAACCCUAGGGCU
RNAcentral lists this ribosomal RNA (380 nucleotides) under uncultured archaeon. RNAcentral's name for it is "bacterial SSU rRNA". It matches the Rfam family "Archaeal small subunit ribosomal RNA", at positions 794 to 1171 of the family's 1478-position model. The record is from RNAcentral.